This is a long non-coding RNA of Teleopsis dalmanni, 671 nucleotides long. RefSeq lists it as uncharacterized. The transcript is spliced from 3 exons. The record is from RefSeq and is a predicted model, not a curated record. Lineage: Eukaryota; Metazoa; Arthropoda; Insecta; Diptera; Diopsidae.
UUUGUGGUAUAGUAAGAUACAGAAACUUUUUGAACGAAAGAACUAAAUUGACUUUGCAGUUUGUUCAAAUUUAUAAGUUAUUCGGCUGAUAGAAAUUUUAAAGUGAAACAAAUUCUAAUAAAAAAUUAACUUAUUUGAUUGCUAACCAAAAUUAACUGUUGGAAAUACCAUUUGGAGCUAUAGUUGAGGAUAUUUGGAGAUUAAAAUUGAAGACAUGAAUUUUUUAAUAAACGCCACAAAGAAUAUUGUUCGGGAUUCUAUUUCAAAUAACGCUGGCAGGUGUUCCGAUUUCCUUCCUAAACGUUCUUUAUAUACCGACCAGACUCCUGUCUUGUCACAUAGAGUGGACCUCUUUCAACGCUUCACUUUUACUAAAGAGGUGGAUAAUAAUGAAUGUUUUCAUGAAGAUGAUUUGAAUAAUUUGUCUGACGAAGGAGGGGUGUCAUUUUUACACAAAAUUGACUAGUGUUUCUAUGAACUACUGCUUUAGUAAUUGUUUGGUAAGAAAACGAAUAAAGAAAUAUAAUAAUAAUCUUUUCAGAAGUCCGUCUUUAAUCAAGACUAGUAUAUAAGUGCAAGUGAGACGAAAUGAAUUUCUUGGAAAUUAUUUGAUAACUAACUUUUGAUAUUUGUGAAAGAUUAAAGAUUAAGAUUUUUUUGAUAUUUGAAUG